Molecule: ribosomal RNA, 254 nt
Filed under: uncultured bacterium
Lineage: Bacteria
Description: partial small subunit ribosomal RNA
Rfam family: Bacterial small subunit ribosomal RNA
Source: RNAcentral
AGGACGAACGCUGGCGGCGUGCUUAACACAUGCAAGUCGAGCGGAAAGGCCCUUCGGGGUACUCGAGCGGCGAACGGGUGAGUAACACGUGAGCAAUCUGCCCUUAGCUUCGGGAUAGCUCCGGGAAACCGGAAUUAAUACCGAAUAUGACUACGGUUGACAUCAGCCAUGGUGGAAAGUUUUUCGGCUAGGGAUGAGCUCGCGGCCUAUCGGCUAGUUGGUGGGGUAACGGCCUACCAAGGCGACGACGGGUA